This is a long non-coding RNA of Mauremys reevesii (Reeves's turtle), 409 nucleotides long. RefSeq lists it as uncharacterized. NCBI's taxonomy places the organism in Eukaryota, Metazoa, Chordata, Testudines, Geoemydidae. The record is from RefSeq and is a predicted model, not a curated record. The transcript is spliced from 3 exons.
CCUGGAGCUGCCAACUGUGGCCAGUGGGAGCCGCGAUCGCUUGGACAUGUAGAUGCGGCAGACAUUUCAUUAUGCUGUGGCAUUAAGAAUUAAAUACUGAGUGAAUGUGACUGAUCUGCUUAAACUUUGAUGGGAAAAGUUUAAGACCACAAGACUGAGGUCUCCAGGUCUACUCCGAAUUAACACUGCAAUUCUCGAGGAAGAAUUUUAACAUGCUCUGUACAUGGACUGCCUAUUAGACUAUAAUCUUUUUAAUUGAUUCCAGAAGGAUUUUUAUGAAUCAGCAGCUUCACCAUCUCUGCCAUGAAACUUACCUAGGGACUUUAUUCUAAUCUGUAUGUAUAUUGAUCUUUUAACCAUAGCAACUCUUUUUUCCUUUUUAUUAAUAAAUCUUAGAUUUAGUUCAUAA